UGAAUUGUAUUUCUGAAAUGCAUAUGAUAUGAUAAAUGAUUGGUUUGAACAUUUAUGGUUGGUGUUAGACUGGUUUUAUAGGACAGAAAUGGCAUAAAUUUGUUGAAUUCUAUUCACGCUGAUAUUCUUCACUUUUUCUUGCAGCACACAAUUUAGCUUCUCCAGACACUGUAUCUCAUAUUUUUCUUUGAGUUUCUUCUCCACGACCUCUUGUAUCAUUUUCACCAACAUCUUCAUUGCCUUACUUGCUGCUCAUCGAGCUCCAAUAUUUUAUCGUGUUUUAUCAUCUUUGUAUACACGACCUCAACCAUCUCUUUCGAUCUCUCAAACAACUUAACCGACCUUCCCACUUGCUUUAUUGGGUUGUUUAUGAUCUCCAUGAAGCUUUGCACUUCGUUUUCCAGCUUUGCACUUCGUUUUCCAUGGAGUUGUUCUCUACUAAGCUCAAAUUCAGUUUUAGAUUAACCAACUCGGCAUAAUCCGCAUCUAGAUCAACAUUCGGUUUUACCAAAGUUAUAGCAUUUUUUUGGAUCUAUAUUCAUUUGUGUAGUGGUCAUGCUUGCCACACUUAAUACACUCCACUCCUGUCGACCUCCUUGAUCGUUCCUUUGUCCUUGAACACCCGCG
This 627-nucleotide long non-coding RNA is filed under the name Vigna radiata. RNAcentral's name for it is "long non-coding RNA (VRAD_LNC001646)". The record is from RNAcentral. Lineage: Eukaryota; Viridiplantae; Streptophyta; Magnoliopsida; Fabales; Fabaceae.